UAGUGAACCAGUACCGUGAGGGAAAGGCGAAAAGAACCCCGGCGAGGGGAGUGAAAUAGAACCUGAAACCGUGUACGUACAAGCAGUGGGAGCCUUGAUUUAUCAGGGUGACUGCGUACCUUUUGUAUAAUGGGUCAGCGACUUAUAUUCUGUAGCAAGGUUAACCGUAUAGGGGAGCCGUAGGGAAACCGAGUCUUAACUGGGCGAAUGAGUUGCAGGGUAUAGACCCGAAACCCGGUGAUCUAGCCAUGGGCAGGUUGAAGGUUGGGUAACACUAACUGGAGGACCGAACCGACUAAUGUUGAAAAAUUAGCGGAUGACUUGUGGCUGGGGGUGAAAGGCCAAUCAAACCGGGAGAUAGCUGGUUCUCCCCGAAAGCUAUUUAGGUAGCGCCUCGUGAACUCAUCUUCGGGGGUAGAGCACUGUUUCGACUAGGGGGUCAUCCCGACUUACCAACUCGAUGCAAACUACGAAUACCGAAGAAUGUUAUCACGGGAGACACACGGCGGGUGCUAACGUUCGUCGUGAAGAGGGAAACAACCCAGACCGCCAGCUAAGGUCCCAAAGUCAUAGUUAAGUGGGAAACGAAGUGGGAAGGCUCAGACAGCCAGGAUGUUGGCUUAGAAGCAGCCAUCAUUUAAAGAAAGCGUAAUAGCUCACUGGUCGAGUCGGCCUGCGCGGAAGAUGUAACGGGGCUAAACUAUGCACCGAAGCUGCGGCAGCGAUAUGUAAAUAUUGUUGGGUAGGGGAGCGUUCUGUAAGCCUGUGAAGGUGUACUGUGAGGUAUGCUGGAGGUAUCAGAAGUGCGAAUGCUGACAUAAGUAACGAUAAUGCGGGUGAAAAACCCGCACGCCGGAAGACCAAGGGUUCCUGUCCAACGUUAAUCGGGGCAGGGUGAGUCGACCCCUAAGGCGAGGCAGAAAUGCGUAGUCGAUGGGAAACGGGUUAAUAUUCCCGUACUGGUGAUAAUUGCGAUGGGGGGACGGAGAAGGCUAGGCUGGCCGGGCGACGGUUGUCCCGGUUUAAGGAUGUAGGCAGGUGAAUUAGGCAAAUCCGGUUCACUAUAUGCUGAGGUCUGAUGACGAGUCACUACGGUGGCGAAGUAGCUCAUGCCCCGCUUCCAGGAAAAGCCUCUAAGCUCUAGAUUAUCACUAAUCGUACCCCAAACCGACACAGGUGGUCAGGUAGAGAAUACUCAGGCGCUUGAGAGAACUCGGGUGAAGGAACUAGGCAAAAUGGUGCCGUAACUUCGGGAGAAGGCACGCUGGCGCUAGGUGAAGUGGUUUACCCAUGGAGCUGAAGCCAGUCGCAGAUACCAGCUGGCUGCAACUGUUUAUUAAAAACACAGCACUGUGCAAACACGAAAGUGGACGUAUACGGUGUGACGCCUGCCCGGUGCUGGAAGGUUAAUUGAUGGGGUUAUCCGUAAGGAGAAGCUCUUGAUCGAAGCCCCAGUAAACGGCGGCCGUAACUAUAACGGUCCUAAGGUAGCGAAAUUCCUUGUCGGGUAAGUUCCGACCUGCACGAAUGGCGUAAUGAUGGCCAGGCUGUCUCCACCCGAGACUCAGUGAAAUUGAACUCGCUGUGAAGAUGCAGUGUACCCGCGGCAAGACGGAAAGACCCCGUGAACCUUUACUAUAGCUUGACACUGAACAUUGAGCCUUGAUGUGUAGGAUAGGUGGGAGGCUUUGAAGUGUGGACGCCAGUCUGCAUGGAGCCAACCUUGAAAUACCACCCUUUAAUGUUUGAUGUUCUAACGUUGCCCCGUUAUCCGGGGUGCGGACAGUGUCUGGUGGGUAGUUUGACUGGGGCGGUCUCCUCCCAAAGAGUAACGGAGGAGCACGAAGGUUGGCUAAGCAUGGUCGGACAUCAUGCGGUUAGUGCAAAGGCAUAAGCCAGCUUGACUGCGAGAGUGACGGCUCGAGCAGGUACGAAAGUAGGUCUUAGUGAUCCGGUGGUUCUGAAUGGAAGGGCCAUCGCUCAACGGAUAAAAGGUACUCCGGGGAUAACAGGCUGAUACCGCCCAAGAGUUCAUAUCGACGGCGGUGUUUGGCACCUCGAUGUCGGCUCAUCACAUCCUGGGGCUGAAGUAGGUCCCAAGGGUACGGCUGUUCGCCGUUUAAAGUGGUACGCGAGCUGGGUUUAGAACGUCGUGAGACAGUUCGGUCCCUAUCUGCCGUGGGCGUUGGAAGAUUGAAAGGGGCUGCUCCUAGUACGAGAGGACCGGAGUGGACGCACCACUGGUGUUCGGGUUGUCAUGCCAAUGGCAUUGCCCGGUAGCUAAGUGCGGAAGAGAUAACCGCUGAAAGCAUCUAAGCGGGAAACUUGCCUUGA
Molecule: ribosomal RNA, 2334 nt
Filed under: Providencia rettgeri
Lineage: Bacteria; Pseudomonadati; Pseudomonadota; Gammaproteobacteria; Enterobacterales; Morganellaceae
Description: partial 23S ribosomal RNA
Rfam family: Bacterial large subunit ribosomal RNA
Source: RNAcentral